RNAcentral lists this ribosomal RNA (253 nucleotides) under uncultured bacterium. RNAcentral's name for it is "partial 16S ribosomal RNA". It matches the Rfam family "Bacterial small subunit ribosomal RNA", at positions 524 to 776 of the family's 1533-position model. The record is from RNAcentral.
UACGGAGGGUGCAAGCGUUAUCCGGAUUCACUGGGUUUAAAGGGAGCGUAGGUGGCUUUGUAAGUCAGUGGUGAAAUAUUGCGGCUCAGCCGCAAAACUGCCAUUGAUACUGCUUAGCUUGAAUCACGUCGAGGUGGAUGGAAUAAUACAUGUAGCGGUGAAAUGCUUAGAUAUGUAUUAGAACACCGAUUGCGAAGGCAGUUCACUAGGCGUGUAUUGACACUGAGGCUCGAAAGCGUGGGGAUCAAACAGG